AGCUUUGUGCAGUGGCAGUAUUGUAGCCAAUGAGGUUUAUCUGAGAUGUGAUUAGUGCUAACUGAAACAGAUUCAUAGUGCACAGAAAGUGGGAUUUGUAGUUAGCUACAUCUAGA
Small nuclear RNA from Chlorocebus sabaeus (green monkey), 116 nucleotides. Its record names the gene U4. It matches the Rfam family "U4 spliceosomal RNA". From Rfam's summary of the family: U4 small nuclear RNA (U4 snRNA) is a component of the major U2-dependent spliceosome. The structure of U4 snRNA from yeast and human has been reported. Lineage: Eukaryota; Metazoa; Chordata; Mammalia; Primates; Cercopithecidae. The record is from Ensembl.